RNAcentral lists this ribosomal RNA (434 nucleotides) under uncultured Bacilli bacterium. Its description in RNAcentral is "bacterial SSU rRNA". It matches the Rfam family "Bacterial small subunit ribosomal RNA", at positions 252 to 678 of the family's 1533-position model. The record is from RNAcentral. Lineage: Bacteria; Bacillati; Bacillota; Bacilli.
GUAAGGUAACGGCUUACCAAGGCAAUGAUGCAUAGCCGAGCUGAGAGACUGAUCGGCCACAUUCGGACUGAGACACGGCCCAAACUCCUACGGGAGGCAGCAGUAGGGAAUCUUCCACAAUGGACGCAAGUCUGAUGGAGCAACGCCGCGUGAGUGAAGAAGGGUUUCGGCUCGUAAAGCUCUGUUGGUAGUGAAGAAAGAUAGAGGUAGUAACUGGCCUUUAUUUGACGGUAAUUACUUAGAAAGUCACGGCUAACUACGUGCCAGCAGCCGCGGUAAUACGUAGGUGGCAAGCGUUGUCCGGAUUUAUUGGGCGUAAAGCGAGUGCAGGCGGUUCAAUAAGUCUGAUGUGAAAGCCUUCGGCUCAACCGGAGAAUUGCAUCAGAAACUGUUGAACUUGAGUGCAGAAGAGGAGAGUGGAACUCCAUGUGUAG